UAGGGAAUAUUGGUAAUGGGCGAAAGCCCGAACCAGCAACGCCGCGUGCGCGAUGAAGGCCUUCGGGUUGUAAAGCGCUUUUUAAGGAGAUGAGGAAGGACAGUACUCUUAGAAUAAGCCUCGGCUAACUACGUGCCAGCAGCCGCGGUAAAACGUAGGAUGCGAGCGUUAUCCGGAUUUACUGGGCGUAAAGCGUGUGUAGGCGGUUUGAUAAGUUGGAUGUGAAAGCUCCCGGCUCAACUGGGAGAGGUCGUUCAAAACUAUCAGACUUGAGAGUGGUAGAGGGAGGUGGAAUUCCGCAUGUAGUGGUGACAUGCGUAGAUAUGCGGAGUAACACCAGUGGCGAAAGCGGCCUCCUGGCCCAUUUCUGACGCUCAGACACGAAAGCUAAGGUAGCAAACG
Molecule: ribosomal RNA, 402 nt
Filed under: uncultured prokaryote
Description: bacterial SSU rRNA
Rfam family: Bacterial small subunit ribosomal RNA
Source: RNAcentral